Molecule: long non-coding RNA, 392 nt
Filed under: Mytilus galloprovincialis (Mediterranean mussel)
Lineage: Eukaryota; Metazoa; Mollusca; Bivalvia; Mytilida; Mytilidae
Source: RNAcentral
GUCUUAAGGAAAUCUGAGUUGAUAUCAUGCAUGUAAUUUAAGUUGUUAUCUGCUAUUAUAAAUGAUGAAAUUUGUGAUUAAUUUAAACAAUAGAAAUAUGCUAAUCUACAAAUCAUAUUUUAAAUGCAAAAGUUUUCCUAGCACAAUUUAUUAAUAAUAAAAGUAACAUUUUAAUUUAGCACUAAAAAACGAUCGAAAUGGUAGGCUGUGUCUACAUUUACUACUUUUUGGUAAUUCUGAUCUAAAACCUUUGCACCAAAAGAGCCCAAACAUCACGUUAAUGUUAUGUACGAAUAAGAGUCGUUAGAAAACAGUGAAACAGUCACAUUUAGACAAAGUAAACAAUCAAUAAAUAAAUAUGAAUAGACAAAAAAUGAUUAAUACACAAAUUA